GGGGUAUAAAUAGGGGCUAGGGAAGGCAGAGGAAAGGAGGGAGGACGAGUUUCGAGGCCCUUAUUUAGACUACGAUAAAGAUCACUAUAUAACUUUUUCUUUAACUGUCUUAUUUAUCUCAUUUGUUUAUUUUAAUCGUUGGAACAUAUCCUAUACUGCUCCGUCUCCAUCCCAAGACAAUGACAUGCUGCUAAAAACAAACCGAAAAACAACCACGGACAACACAACAAGGACGAUUAAUACAAUAAAGUAUAAAGUAAAUACCAUUGCUGGUAUAAAAACCACACACACACACAUGUAAACAAUGAGUGUAGAUAAAUAAAAUAAAAUUCGCUUUGGGAAGGUGGUGCUGUUGGAGGCCUUGUCCGUUUCCCCGCCACCACCGCGCCAUCGGCGGGCGCUCUGCGGGAGGGAGGGAGGGGGAGCGCGGAGGAAGGAAGUAGGAAAAUGGGAGGAUGCGGCCGCGCUUUGCGUCAAGGCGCUCAGUGCUACGAGGAAAGGGUCCUCCGCGUAACACGACGACACGAUUUGCCUAUUUAUUUGUUUCUCUAAACCACAAGCAACGCGAGCUAGUUAAAACGUAAGUCACACGACAAGAAAAGAACACGAUAUUUUCUCGCUUUGCUUUUGUAUUGUCUGGCUUUCCCAGGCCGCGGGUUUCUCAGUGGGAGAUCUUAGCUAAAGUGGGUUAGCUUAGCCUUGCUACAACGGCUAGGAAUUGAAGGAGGAAAAAAACCAAAACAAAACCAAAUAACGAUGUUAUAAAUUUUAUUAAUCUGAUCUGCCGUGGUUUGCGAAUUUGUACAGAAUCGCUGUUUUAUUUUAAGAACGUUUAUUGCGCUUUUUUGUUUAUUUAUUUAAUAAAAUCGUUUCUGAAAGCCAUGCGAAUGUAAACAGUUUGCUAGCAAAACAAGCAGCUAGCUUAGCCAGCGCGGAAAAAAAAAGUUGGACGUAAACUAGUCUUAAAACCUGUGAUUCCUUUAGAUUUAAGGUAUGUGGAACGCUUUAAAAACCACUCCUAGACAUAUUUAUAAAACAUAAAGUAUUUAUUCAAACGCGUAUGGUCAACUUAUUGUCAUUUCUUCACUGCUAUCGUAGCCUCAUGUCGAAAUAUGUUGUUUACGACACCUUGUUUACGUUUUAGCUCCUUAAUUUGACGGCAGUGUGACUUUUUGUGAGUCUUAUCAUUUUUUUUAUUGCAAAAACAUUGUGUUUAUAUUAAUAAAAAGGUAACUUCACGUUUUAUGUCUAUAACAGUGUUGUAAUUGCAUGUAAACAAGCUAAAAACAAGCCCAGAAUCGAACACAAUUUGUUUGUACAUUUUUCAGUACUAUAAUUAUGCGUAUUGUUAUUAAUAUUGUAUCAAUAUUAUAAUGAUAUAUCUUGUUAAAUUUAGUGUGAAAACUGUGUGUAGGUUGUUUCCUGGUGGUGGUUGUUGUUGUUGUUGUUGGUUGCAGAUUCCAUGCUUGAGGAUGCAGCUGUAUGGAAAUGACGUAAAGCCAAAAAUAGACGCUAACUAAUAUUCGGCUUUGUUUUGACUUCCGUGGUGCUCUGAGGUUUUAUGUUGGCUUCGAGACGUUCGUUUGUUCGGCUUGAAGCCGUAAUAUCCGCUUAUUAAUCUCACACCAGGUCAUGAACAUGGUGGAGAAGCUCCAUCUUUCAAACGCAGGACUUGUACAGCGGACGCGCCACGUGGACGGAGUAAAAUAACGCGUGUAAUCACAGAUCCGGCGACGCUUCCUGUGCGAAGACUUCCGUUUAACGUUUAUAGAAGGAGUCUCCAGUGUCAGUGGUAAAGCAGUAGGUAACUCUACUGUAACUCCACCACGUCGCUGAAUAUUCCUUGCGUUAAAGCCCGGUUUCCGACCGGUUCGACGCGCUGUCUCGUUUUAUUCUUCCGGAAGACGGAAUCAGACGGAUGAAGAGCGCCGCAUCACCGCUAGAUAGGAAUAGAAGCUUUGUUAGCGGUUUGCGUUGCAAUAAAGCAGCUGUAUUAAUAUACGAUGUGUGUUAUGGAUGUAAGCGUACACUACCGGUCAGAAGUUUAGACGCACUUUCUUUACCUUUAUUCUCCCCCGACAUUUUAGAAUAAUUAAUAAAGUCAUCAAAACUCUGGAGUAACACAAAUGGAACGUGUACAAAUGUGUUCUCGGCGUUUUCUCGAGCGAUUUCUCGAGGAAUUUCCCCGAGAUGAUUUUUUUAAACAGUAUUAAAGGAGUUCACACCGACGCCGGACACUCAGCGGCUGCUUUUCACAAUAUUUCUCCCCGAGUCGUCCGUUUAGAAAUAUCCACUUUUUUUUUUGUCAAUAAAACGUUAGUUUCUAAUGAAAGAAACGAAUAUGUUGGCGCGGUUAUGUUUUUGUCACUGAAUUCAAACAUUUAAUCACACACCUUCAGAUCGAAAGCUUUUUAAGGUCGUGAGAAACAUUUCAGUCGAGCGCGUACAAACUUUUGAGCGGUAGUGUAGGUGCGGUGAUGUCCCAUACAGAACGAGGGGGGGACGAGCUCAAGCUACACGCUGGUGAAAUUCGGACGCGUAUCUGUUGGUUCGAGACUGUCGGAUCGUCGGACCUCGUGCUUGUUCAGUGGUCUGGCCGGAACGUCGACGUGAGAGGAGUUCUGGGGCGUGUUCGCUUCUGUUUCUGGGGGCUGUUAGGACUGUUAGAAAGUUUUCCUGGCCUGCUACGACCCUGCGUUUACGUUUAAAGGUGCGUCGAAACAUUGUUUUUUCAGUCUGAGUACAUGCGUAUGUUUUCAGCUCGUCGAUACUGACGAACGUUUGUAAUUCCAGUCAUUUUUUGUGUGUGUAAUGUUCAGAUUUCUGAAUUUUAUAGUUAAAGGUCAAGGAACACAUCCUGUCCGAUAAAGGAAUUUUUUUUAAAGUCGUCACAGCACACCGAUCAUGCCUAAAUGGAAAUAUGACCAUCACAUUGUGUCUCAACCAGCUGCAGGGGUGUAUACGGGGGUGGUGUAUGCAGGGGUGCCCGGGCGCAUACAGGGUCGUGCAGAUUUUAACCACAGAGAAGCGAAUCAUAUUUGCUCAAAUAAUUCCGUAAGCGUUCGCUCAGACGGAAGGGAAUGACACAUGGGCAGUUUUUGUUUUUAUUUCCGGCUGGAGGAGGAACGUGGUUGCGGUCUUUAAGAAAUGAACCCUGCACAUUGUAAGUCUCGUACAUCCGUGCCUAAUUUGCUUUCUCGCUAAUGUCGAUGUGAAAGACCGUACCUGCCCAGGCGUGGGGUUUUCCUCAGGGUUGACCCGCCAGGCCCGUUCCGGAUUCACGCCCAAAUAUAUAACGCUUCGAUAUUUAUCUGGAACGCAGCCGUUUUAAUAGUGUAGCGAGCGUCUCAAAUCGCCACUAAAAUGUCUCCGGGGACGUUUUUUUUGAAAGGUCGUAUAAAAGACGAAGCGGAAUCUCGCUGGAACUUGCGGAUACAGCGUUGUUAUGAUGCGUCACGGGUCCAGAUUACAUUACCGAGACUUGAACAGGAGCAGGGACGGAGACGAACGAUGACCCGAUGGUAGACGGUGAUCAUUUAUUCUCUCUCUCUGUCUGUCUGUGUGUCUGUCGUGUUUGUUCUUGUUUACGGACAGGAAGUGUGUGACGGAUGGAUUUAUCCGAGGUGUCGUGCGGCGUGUAACAAACAGUUCGGCUGCCAGGAUCCUGCUUUGAGUCACGCAGAGCAAAAUUAGCGAAUCGUGACGUUGACUGUCAGGACAGCUGUGUGUGUCUCCUCCGAGCAAUAAAACCUGUCGUGCUGUGUACGUCCCUGACGUCAGCUCCUUUCCUACAACAGGUCCAAGAGCAGCCGAAGCGCGUUUGCCGUGAAGGCGAUCGUCCAUCGCUACACCUGGGACCGAGAGCUCCGUUCUGAAUCUUCUAAACCCUACAGAGAACACGAGAACUGCUGGAUGAAACUCUUUCUCCUCCGGAUUGAUUCUUUUUUUUGUGUUCGUAUUUCCUUUUUUUUUUUUUUUUUUUUUUCUCCUUUUUUUUUUUUCUUCUCCACCUAUCAUCAUAAUUUUUACACUACGUUAUUUUACACUACACUGGAUGACACUACAAACCGGGUCCAGAUUGAUUAAAUGAUCGUACGGGGGCUGGUGUGGAGUUUGCAGGUUUGAGUGGAGUUUUCACGGGAUUUCUGAAUUCCCUGGGAAUCUUUACGUGGAAAGAGAAGGCUUUCUGGGAUUUUUG
Long non-coding RNA from Ictalurus punctatus (channel catfish), 4198 nucleotides. The record is from Ensembl. NCBI's taxonomy places the organism in Eukaryota, Metazoa, Chordata, Actinopteri, Siluriformes, Ictaluridae.